GCGGCGGCCGGCGGCGUGCUAUUUCUAUGACAUAUGGCAGGCUGUCUGUGUCUAGGGGUUCUAUAAGAGUAAACCUAGGGUUCUUAUACAUAGUUCAAAACUUAGGAAUUGAAAUUUGAAACUUGAACUCUGUGACUUUAGUUACUUUGUAGAUUUGGAAAAAAAAAUAAUCAAAAACAACUCAGAACCAACCCAGUUAAUGACCGAUAGCUUUCUCUGAAGGACAACCAGACUACAGCUAAGCUUACCAAUAAUUUAUUUGAAUUCUCAAUUUAUCUUGCUGUACCCUAAUACACACGUGUAUACGUCUCGACCGUAGAGUCUAGUGGAAGCUGGGAUUUAAAGGCACUUUCGAGAAGCUUGAUGCGAUGAGACUCUUCGAAUCUGAUGUGUAUCUGCUGUUGGCAACAAAUUAAUAAGAUCGAAACCAAAUGUUAUUUUGUUUAAUUCGCACUUGAUGCCAAAGGGAGUUGAUCAAGAUCGCGACUUAUAGAUUAAAAAAACACUCAUUAUAUUGAAUGGAAAAUUUCUCGAAGUUGUUUCUUUUUGUUUUUUGAAUAUAAAACAAAAAUAAACAUAAAUGUAGCAGAUUAUAAGAAGAGAGAAAAAAAUUAAAUGAUUUCGAAUUUGGAAUUAGUUAAUUUUAAAACGAAAACAAAGUGAUGUCGAGACUCUAAACAAGUUCAAAUCUUUUUAGUUUUGUAUUACUUAUUAAAAUAUGAUUGA
Eupeodes corollae is the source of this 726-nucleotide long non-coding RNA. RefSeq lists it as uncharacterized. The transcript is spliced from 3 exons. Lineage: Eukaryota; Metazoa; Arthropoda; Insecta; Diptera; Syrphidae. The record is from RefSeq and is a predicted model, not a curated record.